This is a non-coding RNA of Schistosoma rodhaini, 45 nucleotides long. The record is from Rfam. NCBI's taxonomy places the organism in Eukaryota, Metazoa, Platyhelminthes, Trematoda, Strigeidida, Schistosomatidae.
AUCCAGCUGAUGAGUCCCAAAUAGGACGAAACACGCGUCCUGGAU